Molecule: ribosomal RNA, 515 nt
Filed under: uncultured Lachnospiraceae bacterium
Lineage: Bacteria; Bacillati; Bacillota; Clostridia; Lachnospirales; Lachnospiraceae
Description: bacterial SSU rRNA
Rfam family: Bacterial small subunit ribosomal RNA
Source: RNAcentral
UCGAACGAAGCGAUUUAGCGGAAGUUUUCGGAUGGAAGCUAGAUUGACUGAGUGGCGGACGGGUGAGUAACGCGUGGGUAACCUGCCUCACACUGGGGGACAACAGUUAGAAAUGACUGCUAAUACCGCAUAAGCGCACAGGACCGCAUGGUCCGGUGUGAAAAACUCCGGUGGUGUGAGAUGGACCCGCGUUUGAUUAGCUAGUUGGUGGGGUAACGGCCUACCAAGGCGACGAUCAAUAGCCGACCUGAGAGGGUGACCGGCCACAUUGGGACUGAGACACGGCCCAAACUCCUACGGGAGGCAGCAGUGGGGAAUAUUGCACAAUGGGGGAAACCCUGAUGCAGCGACGCCGCGUGAGUGAAGAAGUAUUUCGGUAUGUAAAGCUCUAUCAGCAGGGAAGAAAAUGACGGUACCUGACUAAGAAGCCCCGGCUAACUACGUGCCAGCAGCCGCGGUAAUACGUAGGGGGCAAGCGUUAUCCGGAUUUACUGGGUGUAAAGGGAGCGUAGACG